Carassius auratus (goldfish) is the source of this 454-nucleotide long non-coding RNA. RefSeq lists it as uncharacterized. Lineage: Eukaryota; Metazoa; Chordata; Actinopteri; Cypriniformes; Cyprinidae. The record is from RefSeq and is a predicted model, not a curated record. The transcript has 2 exons.
GAGUCGCAGUUUCUGUUGUGUUCCAGGCUGUUCGUCUUCCAACCAAAAACAGCCCUACCUUUCUUUUCAUUCUUUUCCUGUGGAUCCAAACCUGAAACCCAAAUGGAUACAGGCGAUCCGAAGAGAGAAAGGGCAUAGUUUUAAUGUUAAAACAGGUAGCACCUAUGUUUGCAGCCGGCACUUCGCUCCGGAUGAUUACAGUGGUGGCUGCGUCGUUCGUCGCCUGAAGAGUGGUGUCGUCCCAAGCCUAUUUCCUUGGAACAACUUUACUGCUCCUUUGAGAAGGGAGUCAGUAUAUGACAGAACCUUAAAACGUCAGUCUAUACAGCUAUGCUGUGAAGAUAGCGACAUGGUGGCUAAGGCAGCAAGGAUGGAUCACGACUACGUGACACACCCACCUGCAGGUGCUCUGGAUGAGGCUUUGGAUUACAUCCAUGACCUAGAAGCCAAAUUG